GCAAGACGAACGCUUUGUAAAGGAGCUUGCUUCCUUACGAGGAGUGGCGAACGGGUGAGUAAUACAUAAGCAAUCUGCCCAUCGGCCUGGGAUAACAGUUGGAAACGACUGCUAAUACCGGAUAGGUUAGUUUCUGGCAUCAGGAACUAAUUAAAGUUGGGAUACAACACGGAUGGAUGAGCUUAUGGCGUAUUAGCUAGUAGGUGAGGUAACGGCUCACCUAGGCGAUGAUACGUAGCCGACCUGAGAGGGUGACCGGCCACAUUGGGACUGAGACACGGCCCAAACUCCUACGGGAGGCAGCAGUAGGGAAUUUUGGCAAUGGGCGAAAGCCUGACCGAGCAACGCCGCGUGAGUGAAGAAGGCCUUCGGGUUGUAAAGCUCUGUUGUGAAGGAAGAACGGCUCAUAGAGGGAAUGCUAUGGGAGUGACGGUACUUUACCAGAAAGCCACGGCUAACUACGUGCCAGCAGCCGCGGUAAUACGUAGGUGGCGAGCGUUAUCCGGAAUUAUUGGGCGUAAAGGGUGCGCAGGCGGUUUGAAAAGUUUAAGGUGAAAGCGUGGGGCUUAACCCCAUACAGCCUUAGAAACUGUCAGACUAGAGUACAGGAGAGGGCAAUGGAAUUCCAUGUGUAGCGGUAAAAUGCGUAGUUAUAUGGAGGAACACCAGUGGCGAAGGCGGUUGCCUGGCCUGUAACUGACGCUCAUGCACGAAAGCGUGGGGAGCAAAUAGGAUUAGAUACCCUAGUAGUCCACGCCGUAAACGAUGAGAACUAAGUGUUGGGGAAACUCAGUGCUGCAGUUAACGCAAUAAGUUCUCCGCCUGGGGAGUAUGCACGCAAGUGUGAAACUCAAAGGAAUUGACGGGGGCCCGCACAAGCGGUGGAGUAUGUGGUUUAAUUCGACGCAACGCGAAGAACCUUACCAGGUCUUGACAUACCAGGCAAAGCUAUAGAGAUAUAGUGGAGGUUAUCCUGGAUACAGGUGGUGCAUGGUUGUCGUCAGCUCGUGUCGUGAGAUGUUGGGUUAAGUCCCGCAACGAGCGCAACCCUUGUCUUUAGUUACUAACAUUAAGUUGAGGACUCUAGAGAGACUGCCGGUGACAAACCGGAGGAAGGUGGGGAUGACGUCAAAUCAUCAUGCCCCUUAUGACCUGGGCUACACACGUACUACAAUGGCGGAUACAACGAGAAGCAAGACAGCAAUGUGGAGCAAACCUCAGAAAGUCCGUCUCAGUUCGGAUUGAAGUCUGCAACCCGACUUCAUGAAGCCGGAAUCGCUAGUAAUCGCGGAUCAGCAUGCCGCGGUGAAUACGUUCUCGGGCCUUGCAC
RNAcentral lists this ribosomal RNA (1330 nucleotides) under uncultured bacterium. Its description in RNAcentral is "bacterial SSU rRNA". It matches the Rfam family "Bacterial small subunit ribosomal RNA", at positions 57 to 1386 of the family's 1533-position model. The record is from RNAcentral.